This is a long non-coding RNA of Hirundo rustica (Barn swallow), 997 nucleotides long. RefSeq lists it as uncharacterized. The transcript has 3 exons. NCBI's taxonomy places the organism in Eukaryota, Metazoa, Chordata, Aves, Passeriformes, Hirundinidae. The record is from RefSeq and is a predicted model, not a curated record.
UUCCUUUGUGCUUUGGAGGUGUUUGAUGGGGUUGUUGCACAGAUCUCUGCUUGGCACACUGCAGCUCCACUGGUGGGAUCUGUCCUCUGCUCCCUGGCCAUGUCCUCGUGCAGCUGAGGGCUCCGGAGCUGAACUCAGCCAAAGCCAUAUGUUACGGAGAACCCGCUCAUCCGCUUGCGCUGCCUCCCCUCGCCAGCCAGAAACCUCUCAGGCUCAUUUCUACUGAUGAGAAAUGUCAAAUACUCCAGGCUUCCCAGCAACAGCCAGGAGCCUGAGGGGCUGCCAUCACAUCCAGCUGGCUUGAUAUCUUUGUCUUUCAGGCAUGAAAUGACUGGGCUGGUUCAGGUCAGGCUUUGCAGGAAGAAUCCAGCCAGGGAACUCUCAGUGCAAUCACUCCAAUUGGACAAGUGAAGGCAUCUUGCAAAGUGGCAAAGGCGAGAGCCCUAGGGGGCUGAAGGUCCCCAGCUUUCCCUGGAGUCAGCAGGUUUAGGAUCACUUAUCCCAAAGGCCAGUCUAGAUGCAGCCUCAUUGAGAGGUGUCCUGCAGGGAAAGACCUCAGCUUCAGCUCCUAGCAAUGGGGGCUUAUUGCAAACCAUUAAUUGGUUUGUUUGAACAGCAGGACAUGCCCUAAAACUCACUUAUAUCCCCUUAAUAAGGACAAAACUACUACAGCCUCAAAGUGCAACAUCACUAAGCGGUAAAACCCUGUGUAUCUAUGACUCUUUUAAUAGGCAAUUUGUUCUGAUAGUGGAGAUUGUUGAUAAUAAACAAUAAUUUUAAGGGUUUUGUCCUGUUGCCUCUAGUUAGAAGCUAAUUCAGUUCCCAUUCCUUCAUUUACAAAACUUCUUUUAUACCCUGAUAUGCAGCUACUGGACAGACACAGACUGGAAGUUUUGAAAGUUACUGGCAUGAGCUGUGAACUUCCUGGGCUUGUGUUUCACAGGUUUGUGAUACACAUGUAAGACAUGAAGUGCCUUUUCCUCACCCCAGGUCUUCA